GAUGCCAGCUAGCGAUCCGCCAAAGUUCCUCCGAUGACUUGGUGGGCAGCUUCCGGGAAACCAAAGCAUUUGGGUUCCGGGGGAAGUAUGGUUGCAAAGCUGAAACUUAAAGGAAUUGACGGAAGGGCACCACCAGGAGUGGAGCCUGCGGCUUAAUUUGACUCAACACGGGAAACCUCACCAGGCCCGGACACCGGAAGGAUUGACAGAUUGAGAGCUCUUUCUUGAUUCGGUGGGUGGUGGUGCAUGGCCGUUCUUAGUUGGUGGAGCGAUUUGUCUGGUUAAUUCCGAUAACGAACGAGACUCUAGCCUACUAAAUAGACGUACUUUAUUACCGGCAUCUCAAGGCCCAUCGGCUGUAU
RNAcentral lists this ribosomal RNA (362 nucleotides) under Myrmeleon bore. RNAcentral's name for it is "SSU rRNA". It matches the Rfam family "Eukaryotic small subunit ribosomal RNA", at positions 1038 to 1399 of the family's 1831-position model. Lineage: Eukaryota; Metazoa; Arthropoda; Insecta; Neuroptera; Myrmeleontidae. The record is from RNAcentral.